AUGAGUAUUCUCAGUUGGAACUACCGGGGCCUGGGGCAGUCCCAGACAGUUCAAGAGUUGGUGUGCCUCAUGCAGACCUACCGCCUCCGUAUCGUCUUCUUAUCUGAAACAAGGCAAUGUGAGGACAAGGUAAAGGCAAUAAAAUGGAGACUAGGGCUGAAGCAUUGUCUUACCCAUGAUGGUAAAGGCAAAGGAGCCGGCAUUGCUUUGUACUGGGACGAUUCAAUA
Molecule: ribosomal RNA, 228 nt
Filed under: Triticum aestivum (bread wheat)
Lineage: Eukaryota; Viridiplantae; Streptophyta; Magnoliopsida; Poales; Poaceae
Description: partial small subunit ribosomal RNA
Source: RNAcentral